RNAcentral lists this ribosomal RNA (195 nucleotides) under uncultured bacterium. RNAcentral describes it as "partial 16S ribosomal RNA". It matches the Rfam family "Bacterial small subunit ribosomal RNA", at positions 328 to 540 of the family's 1533-position model. The record is from RNAcentral.
ACGCUCGACACCUACGGGGGGCAGCAGUGGGGAAUAUUGCACAAUGGGGGAAACCCUGAUGCAGCGACGCCGCGUGAAGGAAGAAGUAUUUCGGUAUGUAAACUUCUAUCAGCAGGGAAGAAGAAAGUGACGGUACCUGACUAAGAAGCCCCGGCUAACUACGUCNCNNNCGCGAGUAUGNGCGGCGNGNGAGAG